GGUGAAUUGUCCAGCGGCGGUGUCUGUGGCAAGGUCAUUGCUGGGCUGUCGUGGAUGCGCUGUCCUUGGGUUUCUUGGAUUCGCACGCUAAGUGGUUCCGGGCGGGCGGUGGUUUUGCGGCCGUUCUGUCAUUGAUGAGGUGUUGGCUGUUUCGUCUCAUGGCGAUGUCUAUUGCUUCUUGGGUGUGGGGUUGCGUCGGCGCGGUGAUGGGUUUUAUUAUUUUGGCCUUCUCCCAUUCGACACGUGUGUCGUUGCUGUGAGCCUCCUCCGAUGGCGCUGUCGUUGUUUUGCCUGCUGUGAUGUCAUACUUAUGUUCACGCACUCUUUGGGCUGGGGUUCUGGAUGUGGCUCCAAUAUGUGCGGCCUCUCUGCCUUGGGCUGGGUGGCUGGCCGGGAUCUCGUAGACAUCUGGUCGCUCAUGGUGCUGGUGCGGGUCCUCGUUCCAGAUGGUGUUGAGGAUGGUGGGGGCCCGCUUGGUGGAUGUCUUUUUCUUGGUUUUUCGUGCGAUCUCUUUUUUAUAGUACAAAGGUUGUUAGUACUGUAUGGCACCGAC
Molecule: long non-coding RNA, 553 nt
Filed under: Androctonus crassicauda
Lineage: Eukaryota; Metazoa; Arthropoda; Arachnida; Scorpiones; Buthidae
Source: RNAcentral